UACGUAGGGGGCAAGCGUUGUCCGGAUUUAUUGGGCGUAAAGCGCGUGUAGGCGGCUUUACAGGUCCGUUGUGAAAACUCGAGGCUCAACCUCGAGACGCCGGUGGAAACCGUAAAGCUAGAGUCCGGAAGAGGAGAGUGGAAUUCCUGGUGUAGCGGUGAAAUGCGCAGAUAUCAGGAAGAACACCCGUGGCGAAGGCGGCGCUCUGGGACGGUACUGACGCUGAGACGCGAAAGCGUGGGGAGCGAACAGG
This 253-nucleotide ribosomal RNA is filed under the name uncultured bacterium. RNAcentral's name for it is "partial 16S ribosomal RNA". It matches the Rfam family "Bacterial small subunit ribosomal RNA", at positions 524 to 776 of the family's 1533-position model. The record is from RNAcentral.